Molecule: ribosomal RNA, 378 nt
Filed under: uncultured bacterium
Lineage: Bacteria
Description: bacterial SSU rRNA
Rfam family: Bacterial small subunit ribosomal RNA
Source: RNAcentral
UAAGACAGAGGUGCCGAGCGUUAGGCGGAAUCACUGGGCUUAAAGCGUGUGUAGGCGGGUCGUUAAGUGCCUUGUGAAAUCCCACGGCUCAACCGUGGAACUGCUGGGCAUACUGGCGAUCUUGGGCCACCUAGGGGUCACCGGAACAAGCGGUGGAGCGGUGAAAUGCGUAGAUAUCGCUUGGAACGCCGGCGGCGAAAGCGGGUGACUGGAGGUGUGCCGACGCUGAGACACGAAAGCCAGGGGAGCGAACGGGAUUAGAUACCCCGGUAGUCCUGGCCCUAAACGAUGUCCACUAGGCCGCGGGACCUUUGACGGGUCUGGCGGCCGGAGCAAAAGUGUUAAGUGGACCGCCUGGGAAGUACGGUCGCAAGGCUA